Molecule: long non-coding RNA, 419 nt
Organism: Cebus imitator (Panamanian white-faced capuchin)
Lineage: Eukaryota; Metazoa; Chordata; Mammalia; Primates; Cebidae
Exons: 3
Source: RefSeq, a predicted model, not a curated record
UUAUGUUCCACUCUACGGAUGUGUCUACCUUCCUGCUCUUACCAGCCGGCCUAAAGUCUUUCCUGUUGUAUUCACUUGGUCCGUAGGGCCUCCCAGUCUUUCAGUGAUGGCUUAGAGCUUCCAUCUUCAGUAACUUUCAGGUUCUGGACUGGCAUCUUUGUAUCCUCCUCCCCUCAGUCACCAGGCCAUUCUACCAGUCUGAUUCUUCACAAAAUAUGGCAGAAGAUCAGCCAACACAACUCUGGGGAAGAAAGAAGGCCAAUUCUAACACCUGAAUGCUUCAUUCAUGUCUGACUUCUCUUUUUACGAAAGCUUGUGUUAAUUCCUCAUGCUCCUGUAGGACAGGAUUGUUUCACACACUGAAAAACCAUCAUGAUUAUGGCUGGAGUGCAAUGGCGCGAUCUCGGCUCACCGCAACC